This is a long non-coding RNA of Triticum dicoccoides, 269 nucleotides long. RefSeq lists it as uncharacterized. Lineage: Eukaryota; Viridiplantae; Streptophyta; Magnoliopsida; Poales; Poaceae. The transcript has 2 exons. The record is from RefSeq and is a predicted model, not a curated record.
GCAGGUGCUAUGCUCGGCUACCUCCUAGGGCAACAAACUGUCGCAAGAAGAAGUGUGGACACAGCACUCAGCUGAGGCAAAAGAAGAUCUGGAGGCCUUACGACUAAAGCGCCAGGAGCCAGUGAAUCAGUUAAUUUCUCAGUGCUUAUGUAGUUAUAUGCCAAUUCAGAGUUGGAGGUUUAAAUUAUCUCCUUGUAAACGUUAGUCCUUGUUGAUGUUGAACCUUAAUUAUUUUGUCCCCCAUAAAUCAGGUUACGAUCAUAUCUUGA